AGCUCAGGAAGGCCAGGUAGAAGAGAUGCCUAGAGCCCGGGAUGGGGGAAGGGGUGUGGAACAGCCACGCGCAAACCAGGGGCUCCGCUCUCAGCCCCUCCCCAGGUUCGCCAAGCCCGAGGCUCCCCGAACCCCUUCGUCAGGGCUUUUUAUGGGGGCUGCGUUUCACAGGCAUGAUUGAUCACGGCAUUGGCCAGGGUUAACAUUACUUGGUGAUGAGAGGUGGGAUCCAGAGAAGACCCCCAGCAACUUCGGAGAUUGCAAGGCUGGAAGUAGGGAUUUCAUCUUUUUAGGUGUAUCUUUUUCUGAAGACAUCUUGAUCAACUUUUAGCAGUUUCUGGACAACGAAUCUCAAUAAUGGAUUGGUUUUCCAAACGACUGAAAGCAAAAUAACUUGAACUUUCAAUAUUAUUAUCACAUCUUAAAGGAAGACCAGGGUUGAAGGGAAGAGAAGCUGCUGAGCUGGUAAGAUGGCCACACAACAACCAAAGACUUAGGAGUGGGAGUCCAAGGUCUUGUUCAUCAGGUCCUGCAAUCAUUCAUUCAUCCCACCAGCCUAUUUGGGCACUUUUCACGCACACUGACCAUCAUUAGUGGGGCAGCCCAUGCUGGACUCUGACUUGAGUCCAAAUUGGGUUUCAUCAUUUAUGGACGAUGUAUAAGUUCUGUCCUUUAGUCUUAUCUUUCUCAUCUGGAAAACAGGGAUAAUAAAUAACAACACCUUCUUGAA
Neofelis nebulosa (Clouded leopard) is the source of this 730-nucleotide long non-coding RNA. RefSeq lists it as uncharacterized. The record is from RefSeq and is a predicted model, not a curated record. NCBI's taxonomy places the organism in Eukaryota, Metazoa, Chordata, Mammalia, Carnivora, Felidae. The transcript has 4 exons.